Molecule: ribosomal RNA, 496 nt
Filed under: uncultured bacterium
Lineage: Bacteria
Description: partial 16S ribosomal RNA
Rfam family: Bacterial small subunit ribosomal RNA
Source: RNAcentral
AUGAACGCUGGCGGCGUGCCUAAUACCUGCCAGUCGCGCGAACAGACGAGGGGCUUGCUCCUCUGACGUUAGCGGCGGACGGGUGAGUAACACGUGGAUAACCUACCUAUAAGACUGGGAUAACUUCGGGAAACCGGAGCUAAUACCGGAUAAUAUAUUGAACCGCAUGGUUCAAUAGUGAAAGACGGUUUUGCUGUCACUUAUAGAUGGAUCCGCGCCGCAUUAGCUAGUUGGUAAGGUAACGGCUUACCAAGGCAACGAUGCGUAGCCGACCUGAGAGGGUGAUCGGCCACACUGGAACUGAGACACGGUCCAGACUCCUACGGGAGGCAGCAGUAGGGAAUCUUCCGCAAUGGGCGAAAGCCUGACGGAGCAACGCCGCGUGAGUGAUGAAGGUCUUCGGGUCGUAAAACCCUGUUAUUAGGGAAGAACAAAUGUGUAAGUAACUAUGCACGUCUUGACGGUACCUAAUCAGAAAGCCACGGCUAACUACGUG